RNAcentral lists this ribosomal RNA (482 nucleotides) under uncultured bacterium. RNAcentral describes it as "partial 16S ribosomal RNA". It matches the Rfam family "Bacterial small subunit ribosomal RNA", at positions 30 to 507 of the family's 1533-position model. The record is from RNAcentral.
AUUGAACGCUGGCGGCAUGCUUUACACAUGCAAGUCGAACGGUAACAGGCCGCAAGGUGCUGACGAGUGGCGAACGGGUGAGUAAUGCAUCGGAACGUGCCCAGUCGUGGGGGAUAACUACUCGAAAGAGUAGCUAAUACCGCAUACGAUCUAUGGAUGAAAGCGGGGGACCGUAAGGCCUCGCGCGAUUGGAGCGGCCGAUGUCAGAUUAGGUAGUUGGUGGGGUAAAGGCUCACCAAGCCAACGAUCUGUAGCUGGUCUGAGAGGACGACCAGCCACACGGGGACUGAGACACGGCCCAGACUCCUACGGGAGGCAGCAGUGGGGAAUUUUGGACAAUGGGCGAAAGCCUGAUCCAGCAAUGCCGCGUGCAGGAAGAAGGCCUUCGGGUUGUAAACUGCUUUUGUACGGAACGAAACGGCUCUGGUUAAUACCCGGGGCUAAUGACGGUACCGUAAGAAUAAGCACCGGCUAACUACGUG